AUACAUUUUUGCAGCCAUUUUCGC
RNAcentral lists this non-coding RNA (24 nucleotides) under Arabidopsis thaliana (thale cress). Lineage: Eukaryota; Viridiplantae; Streptophyta; Magnoliopsida; Brassicales; Brassicaceae. The record is from RNAcentral.